GGAAACAGAUGCUAAUACCGCAUAACAACGUUGUUCGCAUGAACAACGCUUAAAAGAUGGCUUCUCGCUAUCACUUCUGGAUGGACCUGCGGUGCAUUAGCUUGUUGGUGGGGUAACGGCCUACCAAGGCGAUGAUGCAUAGCCGAGUUGAGAGACUGAUCGGCCACAAUGGGACUGAGACACGGCCCAUACUCCUACGGGAGGCAGCAGUAGGGAAUCUUCCACAAUGGGCGCAAGCCUGAUGGAGCAACACCGCGUGAGUGAAGAAGGGUUUCGGCUCGUAAAGCUCUGUUGUUAAAGAAGAACACGUAUGAGAGUAACUGUUCAUACGUUGACGGUAUUUAACCAGAAAGUCACGGCUAACUACGUGCCAGCAGCCGCGGUAAUACGUAGGUGGCAAGCGUUAUCCGGAUUUAUUGGGCGUAAAGAGAGUGCAGGCGGUUUUCUAAGUCUGAUGUGAAAGCCUUCGGCUUAACCGGAGAAGUGCAUCGGAAACUGGAUAACUUGAGUGCAGAAGAGGGUAGUGGAACUCCAUGUGUAGCGGUGGAAUGCGUAGAUAUAUGGAAGAACACCAGUGGCGAAGGCGGCUACCUGGUCUGCAACUGACGCUGAGACUCGAAAGCAUGGGUAGCGAACAGGAUUAGAUACCCUGGUAGUCCAUGCCGUAAACGAUGAGUGCUAGGUGUUGGAGGGUUUCCGCCCUUCAGUGCCGGAGCUAACGCAUUAAGCACUCCGCCUGGGGAGUACGACCGCAAGGUUGAAACUCAAAGGAAUUGACGGGGGCCCGCACAAGCGGUGGAGCAUGUGGUUUAAUUCGAAGCUACGCGAAGAACCUUACCAGGUCUUGACAUCUUGCGCCAACCCUAGAGAUAGGGCGUUUCCUUCGGGAACGCAAUGACAGGUGGUGCAUGGUCGUCGUCAGCUCGUGUCGUG
This 933-nucleotide ribosomal RNA is filed under the name Limosilactobacillus fermentum. RNAcentral describes it as "bacterial SSU rRNA". It matches the Rfam family "Bacterial small subunit ribosomal RNA", at positions 152 to 1069 of the family's 1533-position model. Lineage: Bacteria; Bacillati; Bacillota; Bacilli; Lactobacillales; Lactobacillaceae. The record is from RNAcentral.